Molecule: long non-coding RNA, 2170 nt
Organism: Pezoporus occidentalis (night parrot)
Lineage: Eukaryota; Metazoa; Chordata; Aves; Psittaciformes; Psittacidae
Exons: 2
Source: RefSeq, a predicted model, not a curated record
ACCCCGCACUGAAAAGCCUAGAGAGCAUUGCAUAUAAGCCCCAUGUCCAAAACAGAGGUGGGGAUUGCUGCAGGUGCCAGGGAGAGGCGGAGGCUCUUCCUUCCAACCUUCAAGUUGUGUCUUUCUCCCAUAGAAGAGCUGUCCCAAAUUUGUGCCUACAUAUCCCAGAAGCACACUCACCUUUGUCAUUUUUCUUUCUUAGGAAAAAAAAGAUGUCAUGAAACUUGAGUUACCUCUACUGCAGCUGCCCCAUUUUUUAUGGGUAUCAUUUUUACAGCAGGCUGAAUCUCUACAAGACAUAUGCUGGAAAAGCUCUGUAAGUAUGUAUUUGCUUCUAAAAAUGCCAUUCUGAAUUUCACACAGUGAUGACAUCUUUCUGACACAGCAUGUGACAUUGCUGCACAAUUUGGUUCUUCUGGAGAGGCUAAAAAUAAGCAUUCAGCCACUAAACUGGAUUCAUAUUUCAGUCAAGAGUUUUAGUUGUCUCUCCAUUUUGCUACUGUUUCAAUGGUCUAGUGCAGGACUAGAAUUUUCCUAGUGAAGACGAUAGAUGCCAUUUCCCUCUCAAACCUGCAGGAGUAAGACAAGCCGCUGCUAGAGAGUUAUUUGUAACAUGACUGCUGUUUAUCAGUACAAGCAAUGAACCACCUCAUUUUCCUUACUAGUAUUAGGAUAUGAAAGGUAAACCAGGUUCUGUCCCAUCUGCAGUAGCUAAGGAGACAAAUCCAAACUCAGGGUUCUGCUCUGCUUCUUCAGUCCCUGUUACAAAACCAGUUCUCAGUGAUUCAAGGUAUUGCAGCAUCCCCCUUUUGUGGCAUCACCGAAGGCUAACUCCUGACAGAAAAGAAACCUUGGGCCAAGAGAUCGUAUGCAAAUGCUCUUCUGUAGCUAUGCAACAUUACUAAGCCAGACCCAGCAGAAAUUGUGCAACCUUGCAGCCAUCGCUGCAGAAGCACUGGCGUGUCUCACAUCUCAGUAGAAUAAAUCAGACUCUAUGCAGCUUCCUACUGCCACUGCAGAGUUAUUUCUGGCAGCCAAGCCAGCUGGUUUCAAGCAGCAGACAGGAGCGCAGAUGUGUGUAGACUUUCACGAUAGCAACAAGAAAGUGCCAACAGACUUUAUUUGCUUUGUCAACAGUAAGACUGAGAUGAAUUGGAGGUGAGAUUGUAAGCAGGAUAAGCCAGUAAAGUCUUUCAUGAAAGUCUUGCGUGUGUGCUUCAGUGCCGUAUUGAUUGCCCAGCCUGUGAGUAUGAACAAAACAUGGUCAAGCCAGAUUAGCCACAGACUUGCCUGAGCGUAUCUCCCCAGUCGUCUACUGUCACUGUAGCAAUCUCAGAAUUGGGGUUGUCUGAGUCUUUCCAGUUCUUGGCAUGUUGGUCACAUCUGCAUUUUUAGCAGCUAAAAGAGAUUUGUACUAACUCAAGGAACUAAGUUUUUUUUUUGUGAAACUUCACUGGUUGUGGAGAAAUGUUAGGAAUGCUGCUAGCCUCAGUUUCUUUGAACAUAAGCAUUUUAAUAAAGGCUGCCUAAAUGCUCUGUUUGGUCCCCAAGCUACCAAUAUUCCACAAGGUUUGGUUUCUGUUUUCUUUCCCCAUUGAAAAUUAUGAGGUAAGAAAUACAAAUAGGAGUCUCCUCAUUUACGUACACUGCAAUAUUGAGAAGAAUUCUCAACUAUUUUAAACUUUCUAAAGAAAUAAUGUAUUGAGUGUUCUGUGUAGGUGUGUGGGUCUCUACAUUUCUGUGCUGUUUCUGCUUAAAAUGCUGCCAGCCAGGCUAAUGUUCUCAGUGGUGUUUGAGUGAUGGAACAGGGAGAAAAAUGUACUUGGUAAACUGUCAAACAACUCCUUUUCUGGAACUGCAGUCUCUUCAGGAUCCUACACCUGUGUUAGGAACUGGCACUGUUUCUUGUCUUCGCUAGUGAAAAACACAUACUUUUUUUUUUUUUUUUUUGAGUGGUUAACUAAAAUCCCUCUCUUCAUGUGAAAUUCGGCUGAAGACACUAGUUUUUACUUACUUUUUUUUUUAACUUAAAUCAGCUACACUGUAAGUUGAAUCCACCUGUAAUGUCAAAGUAAGGUUUUAGACUGUCUAUAAUGUCAGAAACAUAACCUUGCCUACUUUAGGCCUUUGUGAUGUGCUCUGCAGCUAAUAACAUGAUGUUUGAAAUUUC